This 506-nucleotide ribosomal RNA is filed under the name uncultured bacterium. RNAcentral's name for it is "partial 16S ribosomal RNA". It matches the Rfam family "Bacterial small subunit ribosomal RNA", at positions 30 to 523 of the family's 1533-position model. The record is from RNAcentral.
AGUGAACGCUGGCGGUAGGCCUAACACAUGCAAGUCGAACGGCAGCACAGGAGAGCUCGCUCUCUGGGUGGCGAGUGGCGGACGGGUGAGGAAUACAUCGGAAUCUACUCUGUCGGGGGGGAUAACGGAGGGCAACUUACGCUAAUACCGCAUACGAUCUACGGGUGAGAGCAGGGGCACUUCGGGCCUUGGGCGAUUGAAGGCGCCGGUGGCGGAUUAGCUAGUUGGCGGGGUAAAGGCACACCAAGGCGACGAUGCGUAGCCGGUCUGAGAGGAGGAUACGCCACACUGGAACUGAGACACGGUCCGGACUCCUACGGGAGGCAGCAGUGGGGAAUAUUGGACAAUGGGCGCAAGCCUGAUCCAGCCAUACCGCGUGGGUGAAGAAGGCCUUCGGGUUGUAAAGCCCUUUUGUUGGGAAAGAAAUCCAGCUGGCUAAUACCCGGUUGGGAUGACGGUACCCAAAGAAUAAGCACCGGCUAACUUCGUGCCAGCCGCCGCGGUAA